UAAUCUGUUUGAGACAGAUCUUUGUAUAAUUAUAGCAAACUCACAUCUAAUGGCUCAAAAUCACCUAUUAUCUUAGGCCGACUGCAUCAAUUUCCCCACUCCUAUUCUUGUUUUAAAGACAUCAUGGCACCAUCCCUGAAAGCAAGAAA
This is a non-coding RNA of Populus trichocarpa (black cottonwood), 149 nucleotides long. Lineage: Eukaryota; Viridiplantae; Streptophyta; Magnoliopsida; Malpighiales; Salicaceae. The record is from Rfam.